AUUGACGUGAGAAGGUAGGUGAAGGGAACGAAGUGGAAUGAAAGAAAAGGAAAGAGAAACACGCACUUCUCUCUCGUUCCGUUUGUUUUCUCUUUUCCUUUUGUUCAUU
RNAcentral lists this non-coding RNA (109 nucleotides) under Symbiodinium sp. CCMP2430. The record is from RNAcentral. Lineage: Eukaryota; Dinophyceae; Suessiales; Symbiodiniaceae.